RNAcentral lists this unclassified non-coding RNA (235 nucleotides) under Exobasidium sp. Its description in RNAcentral is "partial internal transcribed spacer region". The stretch from base 1 to 46 matches the Rfam family "Eukaryotic small subunit ribosomal RNA", at positions 1786 to 1831 of the family's 1831-position model. Lineage: Eukaryota; Fungi; Basidiomycota; Exobasidiomycetes; Exobasidiales; Exobasidiaceae. The record is from RNAcentral.
AAGUCAUAACAAGGUUUCUGUAGGUGAACCUGCAGAAGGAUCAUUAUUGAAUUGUAAAAAAUGGGGAGAUUGCUUUCGAGCAUCUCCUCUAACAUUUUCUUUAUUCCUUAAACACCUGUGAAUCGUUGCUGAGCUCGCUCAGUGGCACACUUUAUAAAACACACUUUAUAGUUUUGAAAGUACAAAAAACAAAAAACAAAAAUAUAACUUUUGACAACGGAUCUCUUGGUUCUCC